RNAcentral lists this ribosomal RNA (310 nucleotides) under Aspergillus welwitschiae. RNAcentral describes it as "SSU rRNA". It matches the Rfam family "Eukaryotic small subunit ribosomal RNA", at positions 1138 to 1471 of the family's 1831-position model. Lineage: Eukaryota; Fungi; Ascomycota; Eurotiomycetes; Eurotiales; Aspergillaceae. The record is from RNAcentral.
CUAAACUUAAAGGAAUUGACGGAAGGGCACCACCAGGCGUGGAGCCUGCGGCUUAAUUUGACUCAACACGGGGAAACUCACCAGGUCCAGACAAAAUAAGGAUUGACAGAUUGAGAGCUCUUUCUUGAUCUUUUGGAUGGUGGUGCAUGGCCGUUCUUAGUUGGUGGAGUGAUUUGUCUGCUUAAUUGCGAUAACGAACGAGACCUCGGCCCUUAAAUAGCCCGGUCCGCAUUUGCGGGCCGCUGGCUUCUUAGGGGGACUAUCGGCUCAAGCCGAUGGAAGUGCGAGGCAAUAACAGGUCUGUGAUGCA